GACGAACGCUGGCGGCGUGCUUAACACAUGCAAGUCGAACGGAAAGGCCCUGCUUUUGUGGGGUGCUCGAGUGGCGAACGGGUGAGUAACACGUGAGUAACCUGCCCUUGACUUUGGGAUAACUUCAGGAAACUGGGGCUAAUACCGGAUAGGAGCUCCUGCUGCAUGGUGGGGGUUGGAAAGUUUCGGCGGUUGGGGAUGGACUCGCGGCUUAUCAGCUUGUUGGUGGGGUAGUGGCUUACCAAGGCUUUGACGGGUAGCCAGCCUGAGAGGGUGACCGGCCACAUUGGGACUGAGAUACGGCCCAGACUCCUACGGGAGGCAGCAGUGGGGAAUAUUGCACAAUGGGCGGAAGCCUGAUGCAGCAACGCCGCGUGCGGGAUGACGGCCUUCGGGUUGUAAACCGCUUUCGCCUGUGACGAAGCGUGAGUGACGGUAAUGGGUAAAGAAGCACCGGCUAACUACG
RNAcentral lists this ribosomal RNA (466 nucleotides) under uncultured bacterium. RNAcentral describes it as "partial 16S ribosomal RNA". It matches the Rfam family "Bacterial small subunit ribosomal RNA", at positions 28 to 505 of the family's 1533-position model. The record is from RNAcentral.